RNAcentral lists this ribosomal RNA (442 nucleotides) under uncultured bacterium. Its description in RNAcentral is "partial 16S ribosomal RNA". It matches the Rfam family "Bacterial small subunit ribosomal RNA", at positions 338 to 795 of the family's 1533-position model. The record is from RNAcentral.
CCUACGGUGGGCAGCAGUGGGGAAUAUUGGGCAAUGGGCGCAAGCCUGACCCAGCAACGCCGCGUGAAGGAAGAAGGCUUUCGGGUUGUAAACUUCUUUUCUCAGGGACGAAGAAAGUGACGGUACCUGAGGAAUAAGCCACGGCUAACUACGUGCCAGCAGCCGCGGUAAUACGUAGGUGGCAAGCGUUAUCCGGAUUCAUUGGGUUUAAGGGGUGCGCAGGCGGGCCUUUAAGCCGGCGGUGUAAUCGCGGGGCUCAACCCCGCCGAGCCGUCGGAACUGGGGGCCUUGCGUGCGGCGGAGGCAUGCGGAAUGCGCGGUGUAGCGGUGAAAUGCAUAGAUAGCGCGCAGAACCCCGAUUGCGAAGGCAGCGUGCCGUGCCGCCACUGACGCUGAGGCACGAAAGCGCGGGGAUCGAACAGGAUUAGAUACCCGAGUAGUC